CCGAAAAACGCGUGCACCUGCGCUAGCGCCCCAGCUUCCGGUUAGGGAGCCCAGGGAAUAAAUUUGAGGCGGAUGAAGAUGCGGGCGCCGUUUUUUCCCUUCGCUGCCGCUGCCCCGCCCGUCACGCUCCCCAGCCCUUGAGUUUGGCGGCUGGAUCUCCGGGAACGCGGUCGGGCGGGCCGCGCCAUGGAGGAAGGCGCGUCCCGCAUCCGCCGGCGGGUGUGUGUCCGCAAGAGGACCCGGCCAGGCUUGGCGAGCGCGUGCACAGCCCCCGCUGAGGCCGAAGAGGAGGACGCGGGGGCCGGGGGCCGGCGGAGAAAGACCGCGCAGCCGGCGGAGCAUUAUGACAGUGAAGAGGACAUGUUUGGAGACUAUGAUAGCUUUAGUGAAAAUUCCAUUUUAGCCCAAGUUGAGGACCUAGAACAGAAAUACAUGCAACUUCCUGAACGGGGAGAACAUGCUACAGACUUUGCCACUGAAGAUCUUUGCAAAGAGAGCAUCAAAAACAAGCUUAGUGUUACUCAUGUAAGUGACUUGACUGACCGUGAAACUGAUGAGCAGACGGAGAACCAGCCUGGGUGUGAAGGUGUCGCUGCUGAACCUGGAGAUGACCCUUUGUAUGACGUGCCAUCUUCCCAGGUUUUAUACUUUGAAAACCUGCAGAACCCUUCAUGUGAUUUGCACCACCAAUCCGCUCAAGAAAGGGACCAGGGCCCAUCCUGUCACAAGACUGGGAGUGAAGAAUUGCAACACAAGCGAAAUGAUGAAUUGUCUCCUAAAAUCCAAACUAGUUCAGACACAAAUAGGAGAAAAAGCAUUAAAGAGUAUCUAAAAAGUGCCAUGACUGGAAAUGCCAAGGCCCAAACACCAGUAUUUUCUAGGAAUAAACAGCUCAAAGAGGCUCUCCUCUGUGAAGAGCUUACUGUUGCUAAGAGGACAAUUGAGUCAUCGUCUGAUGACCUUGGCCCUUUUUAUUCAUUACCCAGCAAAGUGAGAGACCUUUAUGUUCAGUUCAAAGGAAUUGAAAACUUAUAUGAAUGGCAACAUACCUGCUUAACACUGAGUUGUGUGCAAGAACGAAAAAAUCUAAUUUAUUCCUUGCCAACAAAUGGUGGGAAAACCCUUGUAGCUGAGAUCCUGAUGCUACAGGAAUUGCUUUGCCGCCGAAAAGAUGUUUUAAUGAUCCUUCCUUAUGUGGCACUUGUCCAAGAAAAGAUUUCAGGUUUGUCAAGUUUCGGUCUAGAACUCGGUUUCUUUGUUGAAGAGUAUGCGGGAAGCAAAGGACGAUUUCCCCCGACUAAAAGAAGGGAGAAGAAAUCACUAUACAUUGCCACGAUUGAGAAAGCACAUAGCCUGGUGAACUCCUUGAUUGAAACUGGAAGGAUUAGUAGUCUGGGUCUGGUUGUCGUAGACGAGUUGCACAUGAUUGGUGAAGGAAGCCGUGGGGCAGUCCUGGAAAUGACCCUCUCAAAAGUCCUCUACACGAGCAAAGCAACUCAAAUUAUUGGUAUGAGCGCAACGUUAAACAAUGUCAAGGACCUGCAGGAGUUCCUUCAAGCAGAGUACUACAGCAGCCAGUUUAGACCAGUUGAAUUAAAAGAAUAUCUGAAAAUAAAUGAUACAAUAUAUGAAGUUGACAACAGAGCUGAAAGCAACAUGACUUUCUCACGCCUCCUUCAUUAUAAGUAUUCUGAUUCCCUGAAAAAGAUGGAUCCCGAUCACUUGGUGGCAUUGGUGACAGAGGUUAUACCCAGUUAUUCCUGCUUAGUUUUUUGUCCCAGUAAGAAGAACUGUGAAAAUGUAGCAGAAAUGUUAUGCAAAUUUUUAAACAAGGAAUACCUGAAGCACAGAGAGAAGGAGAAGUGUGAGCUGAUUAAGCACUUGAGGAGCAGCAGCGGGGGCCACCUGUGUCCUGUCCUGAGGCGCACCGUGCCCUUCGGAGUCGCCUACCACCACAGCGGCCUCACCAGCGAGGAGCGGAAGCUGCUGGAGGAGGCUUACUCCGCCGGCGUCCUCUGCCUUCUCGCCUGCACAUCCACUCUGGCGGCGGGGGUCAACCUGCCUGCUCGCAGAGUUAUUUUAAGAGCUCCCUACGUGGCUAAAGAAUUUUUAAAGAGGAGUCAAUAUAGACAGAUGAUUGGCAGAGCUGGUCGUGCCGGAAUCGAUAGCGUUGGGGAAAGCAUACUCAUACUCCAAGAACAAGACAAGCACAAGGUCUUGGAGCUCAUAAGCAGACCACCAGAAAACUGUUAUAGCCAUCUUGUCCAGCAGUUCACCAAGGGAAUCCACACUUUGUUUCUCUCUUUGAUUGGCUUGAAGAUCGCAGCAAAUCUUGGUGACAUAUAUAACUUCAUGAAUGGUACAUUUUUUGGUGUUCAGCAAAAGAUUUUAUUGAAAGAAAAAAGUCUCUGGGAAAUAACUGUCGAAUCACUUAGAUACCUGACAGAAAAAGGGCUCCUACAGAGAAACCCUAUUUCGGAGUCUGCCGAAGAGUUGCAAUGUAAUUUUCAUAUUACAAAAUUGGGGCAAGCUUCUUUUAAGGGAGCGAUAGAUCUGGCUUACUGUGACACUCUCUAUAGAGACCUGAAGAAGGGUCUGGAAGGUCUGGUGCUUGAAAACCUCCUUCAUCUGAUCUACCUGACAACUCCCUAUAAUCUGGUUUCUCAGUGUGACCCCGAUUGGAUGAUAUACUUCAGGCAGAUUAGCCAGCUCAGUCCAGCUGAGCAAAACGUAGCCACCCUGCUUGGUGUCUCUGAAAGCUACAUUGCGAAGAAGGCGUCAGGCCAAGCCACCAGGAAGAAAGUGGACAAGGACAUUGUCAACAGGCUCUACCUCUCCCUUGUCCUCUAUGCCUUGCUCAAAGAGACCAGCGUUUGGAGCGUGUCUGAAAAAUUCAAUCUUCCUCGAGGAUCUAUACAAAACCUGCUCGCUGGCGCUGCCUCCUUCUCGUCCUGUGUGUUACAUUUCUGCGAGGAGCUUGAGGAGUUUUGGGUUUACAGAGCCCUGCUGGCGGAACUUACCAAGAAGCUGACGUACUGCGUAAAGGCAGAGCUGAUCCCGCUCAUGGAAGUCUCUGGAGUCUUAGAGGGUCGAGCAAAACAGUUAUACAGUGCAGGUUACAGAAGUCUAAUGCACUUGGCCAGCGCUGACCCCGAAGUGCUGAUAAGGACAAUCGAUCAUUUAUCACGACGCCAAGCCAGACAAAUUGUUUCAUCUGCAAAGGGGACAGUGCUGAGAGCCGGGACAGUGAAGGCCGACUGCGUAUUAUCAGGGGUGUGAACGGAGCUGCAGGCACAAUGGACGAAAUAAGUGACGUCCGGCAAGUGCGGCAGAGCAGGUCACAGCGGGUGCAGAGCCCACGGUCUGUCCAGGGGCCGGUGCUCCUGUGUCAUGGCGCCUCCGCUCCUCAGAAAUCACCCGCUUUGGUCCUCAACUUCUCUUCCACAUUGUGUACAGCUUAAACGCGUAGUUGGAGGCACCUUGAGACCAUGCCGCUAAGUGAAGUCAGUCAGACACACAGCGUAAUAGCACGUGGCUUCUCUUAUGCGAGAAACUCAAUGCAUAGAUAAAGAGCAACAUAAAAGAUGCUGCUGCAGGAGAAGGCAGAAGCUCUGCGAGAGGAGGUGGAGGAGCUGCUGAGGGUACCCGCCGACGUCCCCAGCGUCGUGGCC
Molecule: RNA transcript, 3671 nt
Organism: Chinchilla lanigera (long-tailed chinchilla)
Lineage: Eukaryota; Metazoa; Chordata; Mammalia; Rodentia; Chinchillidae
Gene: Helq
Gene name: helicase, POLQ-like
Exons: 19
Source: RefSeq, a predicted model, not a curated record